This 705-nucleotide ribosomal RNA is filed under the name uncultured Actinomycetes bacterium. RNAcentral describes it as "bacterial SSU rRNA". It matches the Rfam family "Bacterial small subunit ribosomal RNA", at positions 45 to 766 of the family's 1533-position model. The record is from RNAcentral. Lineage: Bacteria; Bacillati; Actinomycetota; Actinomycetes.
UGCUUAACACAUGCAAGUCGAGCGGUAAGGCCCCUUCGGGGGUACACGAGCGGCGAACGGGUGAGUAACACGUGAGCAAUCUGCCCAUCACAUCGGGAUAACUCCGGGAAACCGAAGCUAAUACCGAAUACGACCACCUCCGGCAUCGGAUGGUGGUGGAAAGUUCCGGCGGUGAUGGAUGAGCUCGCGGCCUAUCAGCUUGUUGGUGGGGUAACGGCCUACCAAGGCUUCGACGGGUAGCCGGCCUGAGAGGGUGACCGGCCACACUGGGACUGAGACACGGCCCAGACUCCUACGGGAGGCAGCAGUGGGGAAUAUUGGACAAUGGGCGAAAGCCUGAUCCAGCAACGCCGCGUGAGGGAUGACGGCCUUCGGGUUGUAAACCUCUUUCAGCAGGGACGAAGCGCAAGUGACGGUACCUGCAGAAGAAGCACCGGCCAACUACGUGCCAGCAGCCGCGGUAAUACGUAGGGUGCGAGCGUUGUCCGGAAUUAUUGGGCGUAAAGGGCUCGUAGGCGGUUUGUCGCGUCGGGAGUGAAAACUCAGGGCUUAACCCUGAGCCUGCUUCCGAUACGGGCAGACUAGAGGUAUGCAGGGGAGAACGGAAUUCCUGGUGUAGCGGUGAAAUGCGCAGAUAUCAGGAGGAACACCGGUGGCGAAGGCGGUCCUCUGGGCAUUACCGACGCUAGGAGCGAAAGUGUGGGG